GGGGGCCUUCUGGUCUCGUUGAGCUUGCGAGAGGCUGGCAUUAAAAAUUGAGGUUCGUUCUUCCCAACUCAAGAAUGGUGACGGUGAGGCCUGCAGAUCCAGGAGAAACAGCAAAAUUAGCGUCUUUCUAGAAAAGUGUUGUGAGCAGAACCAAGUUGGGCUCAGUACCACAUUUUGGCACAGCCAGCCAGGAACCUGCUGCUCAUGGCCAGCCAGCCUGGUUUGGGGAAUUUUCGGGGAGAAGAGGAGGGUUCCACUUGGUUCCUAAAAUUGCCAAAGCCUCAGCCCAGAGUUCAGCCCGGUUGAUUGAUGCCAAGGCAAAAAAGUAUUCUUUUAAUGCUCCCAGGAAACAUCCUGACCAGGCCCAGCUGUGAAGGACUACGGGAAGGAAGACAAGAACACACCCUCUCCCAAGGCGGACCUGGACCAGCAAGAACAGGCGCGCGAUCCUCCACGCAGCAUGGAAGUGUGUCCUUACUGUAAGAAGCCGUUUAAGCGCUUGAAGUCCCACUUGCCGCACUGUAAGAUGCUACGACCACCUGUGCCUGCUGAUCAGGAUGUUUGUCAGUCCAAGCCGGCUGCACUCCCACAUGCUAAGAAAGUCAAAGGGCCGGUCAGAGACCCAAUUAAAGCUAGAGAGAGAGAGUUAGGGACAGACCACGAAAAAAGAAAUCCUGGCCUGAAAGGGGACAAGUCAGAGCGGACAGGUAAGUCCUCUCUGCUGCUAGCCAUUGAUUUGAAAAAAGCAAGUAGCGCAAAGGCUGAUAAAGACAUCAGGGAUCAAGUUCAGCCCUCCCUCAAGAUGUUAAAAAACACUGCAACAGAGAUCACUUUCCACGAAGAACCUACAGCCCCGUUUUCUGCAUCCGAGAACAUCACUCACAAAAAAGGACUUCCUGAAGAUUUGCCUAAAUCAGGGGAAGGUCGAAAUAACCCUUCAGAAACUGAGGCAUCUUUAUUUCUUGGCCCAGUGGAACCUUCUUUGUCAAGUCAAGAUAGAAAAUACUGUUCAGCUUUCCCUAAUGAUGUGCAAACCACUUGUGCUAACUUAAGAUUGGACAGAAUUGAUGCCCCAAGACAGAACCUUCGUGUAAAAUUGCAAACUGUUCCUUUCGGGGAUCAUCACAGUUCUCCAGGGGAUCUCGAUUGCGAUGGUAGGAGAGUAAGCACAUCAUGGCCAAGCAGGGUGAGAGUGCCCAAGGCCGGGGAGCCCCUCUCAGGAGUUGCUACUGAUCUUGGUGACACCAGAACUCAGGAAAAGAACACAGAACCACGAAUUGCAGCUUUUAAAGUUAGCCCAUUAGGUGCCAUCCAAGUCAGGGAGAACCAGGACCAAGGACUUAACCUUGCAACAGAGGCACAGGGGAGCAGUGGAAAUGCGGAGAACUGUGUCUUUGUGACAGAAAUACAGCGCUGGGCUCCCUUGAAUGAUGACCCUAAGAAGGCCUUUAGUAUCAAUGAUUCAGUCACGGCGAAGAACCCUCGCGGGGAAGGUCCCAAUAUAGACUUGAUCACGCCGCAGGAGACAGCUUGCAGGGAGCUUCUCUCUGCGUCACAGUCACGCAAUCCAAGUCUUGUCUCCCUGGCAAUACAAUUUCUCCAGGAAGGGAAGGCAGAAGCCUGCAGCCCUGCCGGCAAAGCAUCAGCAGAGCAUGAGGAGCAAGCUUCUCUGGCUCCCAGCUCGGGCUGUCGGCCCCAAGCAUUGCACCCCGGGGGCCAGCUGUCUCUGUGUUCAGCCCAGCCUCAUGCUGCUAAAAACCCCUUGGCCAGGAAGACCCUAUCAAGUGCCCUGGGGCUGGAGUGGUUUCCAGAGCUCUAUCCUGGCUAUCUUGGACUCGGUGUAUUGCCAGGGAAGCCUCAGCUUUGGAGCGCAGUGGCCCAGAAGCCUCUGCUCAUCAGCCCCCAGGGGGAAAGGCUUUCCCAAGUUCCUUUGUUGGAAAGAAGUUCGACGGCAGUAAGGAGUUUGGAACCCUCGACCGAGCUCACAGCCUCCAGCUUCUCUCUAUUGAGGAUCUUGGGAGCUGUCCAGAAAGGCUGGAUCAGGUGCAGCACCACUAUGAAGAGCGGGGUCGGAGGCAUCACGAUGCUCUUCGCAGGGUACUUCGUCCUUUGUUGUAGCUGGAGCUUCAAGCAUCUGAAGCUGCAGCGCUGGCGUAAGCAGCACUGACCUGGACACCACUUAGAGAGCUUUGGCGCCCCAAGAAGAGGAUGGUGGAGACAGCGGCAGUGCCUCUUGAACAGCGCAAAAUUGUAUGGGGGCAGGGAGAGGGAGCGAAAGGAAUAAACUAUUGGAA
RNAcentral lists this long non-coding RNA (2294 nucleotides) under Sus scrofa (pig). Its description in RNAcentral is "lncRNA (ENSSSCG00025063002.1)". Lineage: Eukaryota; Metazoa; Chordata; Mammalia; Artiodactyla; Suidae. The record is from RNAcentral.